Molecule: long non-coding RNA, 2004 nt
Filed under: Olea europaea (common olive)
Lineage: Eukaryota; Viridiplantae; Streptophyta; Magnoliopsida; Lamiales; Oleaceae
Description: long non-coding RNA (OEUR_LNC001458)
Source: RNAcentral
CAUAAUCCAAAAUAUAUAUUCUGAGGUUAUAAACAUGCCAUGUCAAAAGAUAUACAAUACGGAUCCCCAACAUACAACGUAAUAGACCAUAAGCUCAAAAUAGCAACCCACAAAAUAACCCUACAGAUCAUCAUCCAUGUACAUCUAAUUCUGGAAUCUUGUAAGAGCUUCACAACUAGUCGUGCUCUUUAUGUAGUUCCAUGCUUACCUAUAAUGCAAGAACUACAUAAGCCAAUGCUUAGUAAGUAAAAAUCAUACAUGUCAUGAAUAUGAAUAAUAACAAUAUAUAUCACUAUUUCAUUUGCUUUAAACAUCACGAUAAAGAUGCAUUAUAUUCUAAUAUUCAUCAAAGUCGACUCGAAAUCAUUUCAUUUGAAAUCUUUCAUUUCAUUGGACCUGUGACCCACCUACUAUACACCAUAUAGAGCUCUACAUAAUAUCAAUAUCAAUAAUCAAAUGAUCAAUAAAAAAUUGACACCGGCAUGUGGACCAUCCUCUCGUGACCACUAGAGCCCCAUCUCCUAACUACCUCUAUGAUCACCCACGAAGUAUCCCACCGACAACGCCAAUAAUCAUAGUAUCACAAGGGCGUAGUUGAGUGGUCCAAUCUCCCGUGAUCACCAAAGGCCCAUCCACUGUCUACCUUUGCAAUCAUCUAGGAAGUAUUACCCUCGAUGCCAAAACAUAUCACAUAAGCAUGCCUCACAUAACUCGGUACUCUAGUAGUCGUCAAUAAAACAUUUAUAAGGAAAAAUCAAUUUGAAAUCAUAUUUUACAUGCAGGCUUUUCAACCAUAAUUACAUGUCAUGCAUGGAGAUUAAAAUGCUCAUGAAUGACAUAUUUAAUGAAAAUCAAUAUCAAUAGGUUCCCCAACCUCAUACUCAACGAUCAUAACCAUCAUAUGAUGUGCAAUAAAUCUCUUACCAAAGUUUCAUAACUAUUCCAAUAUUACCAUAUCACAAAUACUAGGCUCUUGCAUCAUAGUUGCAAAUGGAUUUUUAUUUACCUUUCGCCUUUGUGUGUGCAAGUUCCUACAGAGUGUAUAUCAAUUUUCCUUUUUGUUCAACGUCGAAAAAUCACCUGUAAUACCAUCUAAUAUUAAAGACAAUCCUCUAUUUAAUAACAUUAGCACACACAAUCCCAAAAUACGACCAUCCACACCAAAACAAUUUAGACGAAAUCAUUAUUUCAAGUUGCCAAUGGCAUUACAAACUAUCCCUUAAGUCUCGCUAUUUCUUGAGUCCAAUUAUGAACAUCAACCUCAUCCAAUUGUUGUCGACAAUCUAGUACUCAUUAGAAUCUAUUCUCUAGGGCCAAGAGAUAAUUAGUGGAUAUGUAAAGGUUGAAAUCACCUUAAAAACACAAAUGGGCAGAAUCUGUUUUCAGAUUUCUAUUACCGUCCAAUUAUUUUUCUAAUCCUUUUUCACCCCCUUAACUAUAUCCAAAGACUCCCAAAUUUUUACCAUACUUCUAUAUUAUGUAUGUGAAGGCAAUUGUGAUCUAAAUUUGUGACAAAUGAAGUGCUUUCAGCCUCAAAAGCUGUCUAUUUUUCACCACACCAAUUCAGGCAGUCUUGUUUUCCUGUGACUAUUUUCGGUUUUCAUUUUACUAGCAUGUCACCAAUAAAAUUCCAGGCUAUUAGAAGACCAUUUCUAUUCUAAUAACUCUCAUAUAAAAAUUUUCAUUUACAUAGAUACACGUUAUAUCUUAAGUAUUAUCCAAAAUCAAAGUUUAAACCACUUAAAUCUAGCAAAUCCUCAUUUCUGUCCAGAUUACUUUCUUUCAAAUUCUUGUAAUUAAUUACCUCUAUUUUGGCAUUAUAAAAUCAUUAACAAAACUCCAACCUAAUAACAAUCAAGUUCCGAUGUUCAAGAAAAUAUAAACCCCUUUAGAAAUAAUGGAUACAAACCUCAAAACCAUGAAGUAACAAAGCUGUCCAGAAAUUCCAGCUUCUUCUUUCUAUUUCUCUUUGACUCUUUCACCCUCCUUUUUCAUUUGGAAUCA